Molecule: ribosomal RNA, 497 nt
Filed under: uncultured bacterium
Lineage: Bacteria
Description: partial 16S ribosomal RNA
Rfam family: Bacterial small subunit ribosomal RNA
Source: RNAcentral
GAUGAACGCUGGCGGCGUGCCUAAUACAUGCAAGUCGAGCGAACGGACGAGAAGCUUGCUUCUCUGAUGUUAGCGGCGGACGGGUGAGUAACACGUGGAUAACCUACCUAUAAGACUUGGAUAACUUCGGGAAACCGGAGCUACUACCGGAUAAUAUUUUGAACCGCAUGGUUCAAAAGUGAAAGACGGUUUUGCUGUCACUUAUAGAUGGAUCCGCGCUGCAUUAGCUAGUUGGUAAGGUAACGGCUUACCAAGGCAACGAUGCAUAGCCGACCUGAGAGGGUGAUCGGCCACACUGGAACUGAGACACGGUCCAGACUCCUACGGGAGGCAGCAGUAGGGAAUCUUCCGCAAAGGGCGAAAGCCUGACGGAGCAACGCCGCGUGAGUGAUGAAGGUCUUCGGAUCGUAAAACUCUGUUAUUAGGGAAGAAAAUAUGUAUAAGUAACUGUGCACAUCUUGACGGUACCUAAUCAGAAAGCCACGGCUAACUACGUG